CAUGCAAGUCGAACGGUAACAGCGGAGCUUGCUCCGGCUGACGAGUGGCGGACGGGUGAGUAACGCGUAGGAAUCUACCCAGUAGCGGGGGAUAGCCCGGGGAAACCCGGAUUAAUACCGCAUACGCCCUACGGGGGAAAGGGGGCCUCUUCUUGAAAGCUCUCACUAUUGGAGGAGCCUGCGUUGGAUUAGCUAGUUGGUGGGGUAAAAGCCUACCAAGGCGACGAUCCAUAGCUGGUCUGAGAGGACGAUCAGCCACACUGGAACUGAGACACGGUCCAGACUCCUACGGGAGGCAGCAGUUAGGAAUAUUGUGCAAUGGGGGAAACCCUGACACAGCCAUGCCGCGUGUGUGAAGAAGGCCUUAGGGUUGUAAAGCACUUUCAGUAGGGAGGAAUUAGCAAGGCUAAUACUCUUGUGAAAUGACGUUACCUACAGAAGAAGAUCCGGCUAACUCCGUGCCAGCAGCCGCGGUAAUACGGAGGGAUCGAACGUUAAUCGGAAUUACUGGGCGUAAAGCGCGCGUAGGCGGCUUGUUAAGUGGGAUGUGAAAGCCCCGGGCUCAAUCUGGGAACUGCAUUCCAAACUGACAGACUUGAG
RNAcentral lists this ribosomal RNA (600 nucleotides) under uncultured Gammaproteobacteria bacterium. RNAcentral describes it as "bacterial SSU rRNA". It matches the Rfam family "Bacterial small subunit ribosomal RNA", at positions 54 to 646 of the family's 1533-position model. Lineage: Bacteria; Pseudomonadati; Pseudomonadota; Gammaproteobacteria. The record is from RNAcentral.